Non-coding RNA from Musa acuminata subsp. malaccensis (wild Malaysian banana), 383 nucleotides. The record is from RefSeq and is a predicted model, not a curated record. Lineage: Eukaryota; Viridiplantae; Streptophyta; Magnoliopsida; Zingiberales; Musaceae.
AGCUUCCUAGGGCUUUCAUCAAAUUCGGCAGCUCCAUAUAACAACUAAGAUUUGUCCAAUAAAUGAGAACCUUUUGAACGAAAAAUUAUAUAGUUGUCUUUCAAUAAAAUUAUGAUAGUUGCUGUACCUUUGGCUCCACAAUAACAGGCAAGACUGAGACGGCUCUUCCGUAAAACAAGGAAGUUUCGAUAUACCUGCAGCCCAAAUUGUAAAUCCUUGAGCACUGGAGUUGAAAGGGUGUAGGGACCAGACCGCUCGGGAAGGAAUGGUCUUGGUGACGAGUGAUCAUCUAUAACAGUGCAAGAUAUACAAUGUUUUUGGUUCCAAGUAAAACAAAGUUGUUCAUGCUUACACAACGAAUGCAUUGGUCUGUUACAAUUUUA